This 156-nucleotide ribosomal RNA is filed under the name Triticum dicoccoides. Its description in RNAcentral is "rRNA 5_8S_rRNA". It matches the Rfam family "5.8S ribosomal RNA". From Rfam's summary of the family: 5.8S ribosomal RNA (5.8S rRNA) is a component of the large subunit of the eukaryotic ribosome. It is transcribed by RNA polymerase I as part of the 45S precursor that also contains 18S and 28S rRNA. Lineage: Eukaryota; Viridiplantae; Streptophyta; Magnoliopsida; Poales; Poaceae. The record is from RNAcentral.
GACUCUCGGCAAAGGAUAUCUCGGCUCUCGCAUCAAUGAAGAACGUAGCGAAAUGCGAUACCUGGUGUGAAUUGCAGAAUCCCACGAACCAUCGAGUCUUUGAACGCAAGUUGCGCCCGAGGCCACUCGGCCGAGGGCACGCCUGCCUGGGCGUCA